Eriocheir sinensis (Chinese mitten crab) is the source of this 2708-nucleotide long non-coding RNA. RefSeq lists it as uncharacterized. The transcript is spliced from 2 exons. Lineage: Eukaryota; Metazoa; Arthropoda; Malacostraca; Decapoda; Varunidae. The record is from RefSeq and is a predicted model, not a curated record.
CAAAUUACAACACACACACCUGGGCAAUAUAAAGCAAGGACACCUGAAAUAACGCCAGGUAAUAAGAAAUGCCUAGGUAAUAACGUGAGUCUCCGUGGAUAAGCCAGAAGGAAGAGGAGGAGGAGGAGAGAGCGAGGGAGCGAGAAAGGAAGGAAGGUAAAAGGGGGUGAGAAGGCUCGGAGUUUAGUCCCGUUCAGUGUGGCUUGAGCUGUGAGAGAGGAAGGUCGUACGCCGCUCCCUCUACCCCUCUCCACCUACGGAACGACCACAAGAAGAAGCAGAGGAGGAAGAGGCAAAGCAAGAUGGAGAGAUCGUAAAAAUCCCAGAGAGAAAAAAAGUUAUUAUGAACGACUAACGGAUAAAGGGAAUAGAGAGGAAGAGAAAGGAGAACGAGGGAAGAGAGCAAAAGGCAGAGAGUGAGGUAGAAGAUAGCAACAAAUCAGAGAGAAAGGAAAACAGUGUAGGAGGAGGAAAAGUAAAAAUAAGAAAUAGACACGGAGAAAGAGAAUAUAGAACAAGGGGAGACAGAACACAGGUAAAGAAGUAAAAGUAAAGAAAACAGAGAAUAAGACAGAAAAGACAGAAAAGUUAAAAAGAACCAAAGUAAAAGUGAAGAGACAACAGAGAACACAAAAAAAGAGAGACAGAAAAGUUACAGAAACAAAAAAAUAAAAGUACGUCAGAAGAAGAACUAAAAAUGGAACGGUCACAGAAAAACAAAAUCUAGAAAACAAAACAAAAAAUAAACAAACAAAAAGAAAAAAACAAUUAGUGUGAAGUAAACUAACGAAAUAAAAGAAAAAAUAGGAAAAAAUACAUCACAAAAAGAAAACACAAGAACAACAAAAGAAAUAUAAACAGAAAAUAACAGAAACAAAAGGAAAAAACAAGAAGAGUGAAAAAAAACAAAAUAAAGACAAAACAAAAAAAUCAGAAGCAACAAAACAAUAAUAUACAGAAACGAAGAGAAAGGUAGAAAAAAGAAAGGAAGAGAAACAGCAAAACAAUUAAUUACAGAAAAAGAAGAGAAAGAUAAAAGAGAAGGAAAACAUCACCUGCUCCUUCUCCUCGUACCUGCUAUCAAGGCAUCCAGGUAAGCAGUGAAUGUGUGGGGCCACUUAGCAACGUGACAGGUAUUCUCAGGCCAGGUAACGGAGCACACCAACCGGCCACUAACGGAACAGGGCCGGAAUAGCUAGGAACCGAACCCUCCCACUCUGUCUGAUGUGUUGAGAUAGAUAAGAAGAGAAGGGAGAGGAAAACUGUGCAGGAGGAAUAUCAGACAGAAAUACACAGAAAGAAAGAUAAUAUAGGAUAAGGAGACAAAGGAUAAAGAAUUAACCUAACAGUUCCGGAUAAGUGGAUAACCGAACAAUCUGAGUCAGUCCGGAUACGUGUUGAAACGGACGAUUACCCAACAGUUCCGGACUAGUGAUUAACCGAAACAAUCCGAAUCAGCCCGGAUAAAAGUUGAAACCGGACGAUUAUCUAAGAAUUCCGGAUAAGUGAAUAAUCGAACAGCUCAAAUCAGUCUGGAUAUUGGUUCAGACCGGACGCUUAUCUAACUGAUUCGGAUAAGUGGCUAACCCAGAGUCCGAGUCAGUCCGGAUAAGAAGAAGAAAAAUACCAGAAAUAGCGAUCAACCGAACCUAACUUUAGUCCGUAUCAUUGAGUAACUGAACCGGAUGAAAUAGUGACCAUCCGUACCGUUCAAUUCAGUCCGGAUAAGAGAGUGGAUAAACCGAACCAAAUAGCGAUUAGCCUUAAAUUUCAAGUCAGUCCGGAUAAAAGAGUGGAUAAACCGUACGAAAUAGUGCUCAACCGUAAAUUUCAAGUCAUUCCGGAUAGCAGAGUCGUUGAACCGGGCGGAUACGAAGCAAAACCGGAAUAGUGCGUAACCGAAACCUCCGGAAAAUGGGAAGACAUCCGGAUUUCCCGUAAGAAGGAAGGAGCGAGUCACGGAUGAUGGAGUGACGGGCGGAUCCUCUUGAAAUUGCUUCGAAUCGCCGUCUCGCAUUCCGGAUUACGACUUGACGGUUUGUGUAAGUGUGACUGUGAGCGUGUGUGUUUGUGUAUCCUCAGGUGUUUCCGGGCCCAGGUGAAAAGGUGAGCUAGCAGGGAGUAGUGGAUUAAAAAAGAAAUAGCAAAGAUAAAACAAAGGAAGAACGUGAGAAGUGGAAGAACGGAGUAACGGAUUAAAAAGAAAUAGAAAGGACGAGACUAAAAAAGAACGUGAGGAACAGAAAAAAACGGAACAAUGGAUUAAAGAGACAAAUAAAACAGUGAAGGAAAUUCUAAGCAGUGAAAACCGUGAAGCAGAGGAAAGAAAAAGAACGACAUAGAAAAAAAGGAAGGUAGAAAAGGAGAAAUAUAUAAACGGUGUAAACAAAGAAACAGUGAAAAGAAACAAAUGAUAAGGCGAAACUAAAAUAUUUUGUGGCGUUGUAAAAAGAAAAGGUAUCUAAAACAGUGAAAACAAAAACUGAGAAAACGGUGAAAACAAAUAGGCUUUAAAAGUGAAACUGAAAAAAUAAACUGAAAUAAAGAGGUUAAAAUAAAGUCUGGAAAAAGGUGACAUUAAACAUACAUAAAAAAAAGGGAAAUUAAAGUUUGUAAAGGUGAAACUCAACAUAUAAACUUAAAAAAAAGGUUAAAAUAAAGUCUGGGAAAAAGAGUGAUGCUGAAAAUACUUAAAAAAAAACGGGAAA